AAUGGAUGACCCCAAGUCGGAUUAGCUAGUUGGCGGGGUAACGGCCCACCAAGGCGACAAUCCGUAGCUGGUCUGAGAGGACGACCACCCACACCGGAACUGAGACACGGUCCGGACUCCUACGGGAGGCAGCAGUGGGGAAUAUUGGACAAUGGGGGAAACCCUGAUCCAGCGACGCCGCGUGUGUGAAAAAGGCCUGCGGGUUGUAAAGCACUUUUAGUGGGGAUGAAAAGCCUAGGGAUAACACCCCUGGGUCUUGACUUAACUCACAGAAAAAGCACCGGCUAACUCUGUGCCAGCAGCCGCGGUAAUACAGAGGGUGCGAGCGUUAAUCGGAAUUACUGGGCGUAAAGCACGCGUAGGUGGCUUUGUAAGUCGGAUGUGAAAUCCCCGGGCUCAACCUGGGAACUGCAUUCGAAACUGCAUUGCUAGAGUGCGGAAGAGGGAAGUG
RNAcentral lists this ribosomal RNA (451 nucleotides) under uncultured bacterium. RNAcentral's name for it is "bacterial SSU rRNA". It matches the Rfam family "Bacterial small subunit ribosomal RNA", at positions 220 to 663 of the family's 1533-position model. The record is from RNAcentral.